UACGGGAGGCAGCAGUGGGGAAUAUUGCACAAUGGGCGCAAGCCUGAUGCAGCCAUGCCGCGUGUAUGAAGAAGGCCUUCGGGUUGUAAAGUACUUUCAGUCGUGAGGAAGGUGUUAAGGUUAAUAACCUUAGCAAUUGACGUUAGCGACAGAAGAAGCACCGGCUAACUCCGUGCCAGCAGCCGCGGUAAUACGGAGGGUGCGAGCGUUAAUCGGAAUUACUGGGCGUAAAGGGCACGCAGGCGGUUAAUUAAGUUGGAUGUGAAAUCCCCGGGCUUAACCUGGGAAUGGCAUUCAAGACUGGUUAGCUAGAGUCUUGUAGAGGGGGUAGAAUUCCGAUGUGUAGCGGUGAAAUGCGUAGAGAUGUGGAGGAAUACCGGUGGCGAAGGCGGCCCCUGGACAAAGGCUGACGCUCAUGUGCGAAAGCGUGGGGAGCAAACGAGGGAUUAGAUACC
This 455-nucleotide ribosomal RNA is filed under the name uncultured bacterium. Its description in RNAcentral is "bacterial SSU rRNA". It matches the Rfam family "Bacterial small subunit ribosomal RNA", at positions 340 to 786 of the family's 1533-position model. The record is from RNAcentral.